AAAAAAAAAAAAAAAAAAAAAAAAAAAA
This 28-nucleotide non-coding RNA is filed under the name Prorocentrum micans. Lineage: Eukaryota; Dinophyceae; Prorocentrales; Prorocentraceae. RNAcentral also lists the same sequence under 4 other names. The record is from RNAcentral.